AGCAUGUGGUUAAUUCGAAGCAACGCGAAGAACCUUACCAGGGCUUGACAUCCCCUGACCGCGUAUGAAAGUACGUUUUCACCCUCGGGUGACAGGGAGACAGGUGGUGCAUGGUUGUCGUCAGCUCGUGUCGUGAGAUGUUGGGUUAAGUCCCGCAACGAGCGCAACCCCUACGUUUAGUUGCUAACAGGUGAAGCUGAGCACUCUAGACGAACUGCCGUUGACAAAACGGAGGAAGGUGGGAUGACGUCAAAUCAUCAUGCCCCUUAUGUUCUGGGCUACACACGUGCUACAAUGGCCGGUACAGACGGAGGCGAAGCCGCGAGGCGGAGCAAAUCCGAAAAAGCCGGUCUCAGUUCGGAUUGCAGGCUGCAAUUCGCCUGCAUGAAGUCGGAAUCGCUAGUAAUCGCAGGUCAGCAUACUGCGGUCGAAUACGUUCCCGGGCCUU
RNAcentral lists this ribosomal RNA (448 nucleotides) under uncultured Pelotomaculum sp. RNAcentral's name for it is "bacterial SSU rRNA". It matches the Rfam family "Bacterial small subunit ribosomal RNA", at positions 936 to 1382 of the family's 1533-position model. The record is from RNAcentral. Lineage: Bacteria; Bacillati; Bacillota; Clostridia; Eubacteriales; Desulfotomaculaceae.